Long non-coding RNA from Herpailurus yagouaroundi (jaguarundi), 203 nucleotides. RefSeq lists it as uncharacterized. Lineage: Eukaryota; Metazoa; Chordata; Mammalia; Carnivora; Felidae. The transcript is spliced from 2 exons. The record is from RefSeq and is a predicted model, not a curated record.
UCGGACACUCAACCGACUGAGCCACCCAGGCGCCCCUUUAAGGAUCAAGUCUUUGCUAAGUAUUCUGCAGGGGACUGAAAAUGUGUGUGCUCCUGUCACCGAGAACAACAAAUCCGCAGGCUUAUGAACUGUGCCGCUCAAAUCCUGUUACAUUUUUACUACUUUUUGUGAAAUGAUAUGAAAUAUACAUAUUGGUCUCUGCA